ACGUAGGGGGCUAGCGUUAUCCGGAAUUACUGGGCGUAAAGGGUGCGUAGGUAGUUUCUUAAGUCAGAGGUGAAAGGCUACGGCUCAACCGUAGUAAGCCUUUGAAACUGGGAAACUUGAGUGCAGGAGAGGAGAGUGGAAUUCCUAGUGUGGCGGUUCAAUGGGUAGAUAGUAGAAGGAACACCAGUAGGGGAGGCGACUCACUGGACUGUAACUGACAGGGAGGCGCGUAAGCGUGUGAAGAGGUGAG
RNAcentral lists this ribosomal RNA (250 nucleotides) under uncultured prokaryote. RNAcentral describes it as "partial 16S rRNA". It matches the Rfam family "Bacterial small subunit ribosomal RNA", at positions 525 to 775 of the family's 1533-position model. The record is from RNAcentral.